This is a long non-coding RNA of Poecilia latipinna (sailfin molly), 1153 nucleotides long. RefSeq lists it as uncharacterized. The record is from RefSeq and is a predicted model, not a curated record. Lineage: Eukaryota; Metazoa; Chordata; Actinopteri; Cyprinodontiformes; Poeciliidae. The transcript is spliced from 3 exons.
UUGAAUCCAACAGCUGAAUCACCUCCCAAGUGCAGUCAGGUUCUCCAGAGUCCUGCUAAUGACCUCAUUAUUUGACCCAGGUAUGUUGAAGUAGAGAUACAUCUAAACGUUGCAGGAGAACUGCCCUCGAGGCCUGGAGUUGCCCACGCCUGACCUAACCCCACCUUUAUGGUCACAGCUCCUCCUCAGAGAUGCUGAUUCCAAGCACCCCUCCCUUCAUGGCUCCUCCACUCAGCGCCUUCAGACUAGCCAGCAGCAAUUAGCAAACACCUGGUGGAACUGUGCAUCUGCUGGGCUCAUUAUUGGAUGCCUUAUCAAAAGCUUCCAUACCUUGCUGAAAAGUUACUUCUCUGGGAAAGCCUUGGAAUGCCAGAGGGAAGAGAAGACGGAGGGAGGGAUAAAAGAACGUUUACUUCCAGAAACUUCCCAGCAUUGUUCCGAGUUCUGCUCCAGCUCUCACCUGCUCCCAUCCCCCUGCCUGAGCGCUGAGGAAUGACACAGUUCCUGUUCUGUAAUGUUCCUCUGAUUGUGCCUCCACACCCUGCUGAUGAUUUUACCAAGACGCCUGUCACCGUAGAUCCUCUCCGCUGCUGUUAAGGGGACGGCGAGUUCAUUCUGUGGGUUUGUUAGCGGUUGACGGGGGCCUGGGCAGAGUGGGCCGCCAUGGCUCUCUCUCCUCAUCGUUACAGGGCUGCGGGUUUUUGUGUAACAAUGGCCUAACAGCAAAUAUUUUAACGAUGCGUUUUACCUCCCUGAUUACCUGGUCCACUCUUGAACCACUCUGUGAAUCACAUGUGCUGCACAGUUUUCCUUGAAGCAUUCUGUGGGAACUGGGCUGUUAGAACAUAGCAGCAGCUUUAGAUGCCAAAUGAGCUGCGGUGAGCCUUGUUAAAUGGUCCAAAUGAAACUCAACCAAUAGCUGUAAACCAUCCUGGACCGGCAAGGCCUUUCUGCUAAUAAAGAGAAAGUGUUAAUAAAAUCAGACAGUUGGAAUCAAGUGUAAACAUGAUUUUCAUUUUCUGUUCCUUCAUGUCCUUUUAACUACUGGGAAGGUACAAAAUUAAUAAGAAGCUCAACAUUCACUAAAUGAUUGUCAGUGUUUAGGUUCAAUCCAGAACCUUCUAUGCUAAAAAAUAAAAAGUUGAACAAAGCA